AUCGAACGCUGGCGGCAGGCCUAACACAUGCAAGUCGAACGGUAACAGGAAGCAGCUUGCUGCUUCGCUGACGAGUGGCGGACGGGUGAGUAAUGUCUGGGAAGCUGCCUGAUGGAGAGGGAUAACUACUGGAAACGGUAGCUAAUACCGCAUAACGUCGCAAGACCAAAGAGGGGGACCUUCCGGCCUAUUGCCAUCGGAGGUGCCCAGAUGGGAUUGGCUAGUAGGUGGGGUAACGGCUUACCUAGGCGACGAUCCCUAGCUGGUCUGAGAGGAUGACCAGCCACACUGGAACUGAGACACGGUCCAGACUCCUACGGGAGGCAGCAGUGGGGAAUAUUGCACAAUGGGCGCAAGCCUGAUGCAGCCAUGCCGCGUGUAUGAAGAAGGCCUUCGGGUUGUAAAGUACUUUCAGCGGGGAGGAAGGAGGUGAGGUUAAUAACCUCGCCGAUUGACGUUACCCGCAGAAGAAGCACCGGCUAACUCCGUGCCAGCCGCCGCAGUAA
Molecule: ribosomal RNA, 506 nt
Filed under: uncultured bacterium
Lineage: Bacteria
Description: partial 16S ribosomal RNA
Rfam family: Bacterial small subunit ribosomal RNA
Source: RNAcentral